This 114-nucleotide ribosomal RNA is filed under the name Cordylochernes scorpioides. The record is from RNAcentral. Lineage: Eukaryota; Metazoa; Arthropoda; Arachnida; Pseudoscorpiones; Chernetidae.
ACCGCCAUGCCACAUUGAAAACACCGGUUCUCGUCCUAUCACCGAAGUUAAGCAACGUCGGGCCCGGUCAGUACUUGGGAGGGUGACCACCUGGGAACACCGUGGUUGUAGGCU